Molecule: ribosomal RNA, 417 nt
Filed under: Isognathotermes fungifaber
Lineage: Eukaryota; Metazoa; Arthropoda; Insecta; Blattodea; Termitidae
Description: Cubitermes fungifaber partial 12S ribosomal RNA
Source: RNAcentral
CCCUAUUAUUUUGGAAUGUUAAGGUUUAUGUGCUUGAGUAGUAUUAGUUAUGUUCUUGAAACUUAAAGAAUUUGGCGGUAUCUCAUUCCGUUCAGAGGAAUCUGUCUCGUUAUCGAUAGUCCACGUUGGACCUUGCUUGGAUUGCUUGUGGUUUGUAUACCGCCGUUUAUUGAUUAUCUUUUUAGGGUUAAAGUAAUUUUCUGGUUUCUCUAUUUUGAUUUAUUUCAGGUCAAGGUGCAGCUUGUUUCUAAGUGUAUGAUGGAUUACAUUGUUAUUUGUUUUUGGAUUGUUGAUUUUAAUAUUGGCAUGAAAUUGGAUUUGGUUGUAAUAACUUGUAGAUUGUUUUUAUGAUAUUGGUUUUGGGAUAUGUACACAUCGCCCGUCGCUCUCGUUUAAAAUUCAUUAAUGAGAUAAGUC